Molecule: ribosomal RNA, 768 nt
Filed under: uncultured bacterium
Lineage: Bacteria
Description: bacterial SSU rRNA
Rfam family: Bacterial small subunit ribosomal RNA
Source: RNAcentral
GGCCCUGCUUUUGUGGGGUGCUCGAGUGGCGAACGGGUGAGUAACACGUGAGUAACCUGCCCUUGACUUUGGGAUAACUUCAGGAAACUGGGGCUAAUACCGGAUAGGAGCUCCUGCUGCAUGGUGGGGGUUGGAAAGUUUCGGCGGUUGGGGAUGGACUCGCGGCUUAUCAGCUUGUUGGUGGGGUAGYGGCUUACCAAGGCUUUGACGGGUAGCCGGCCUGAGAGGGUGACCGGCCACAUUGGGACUGAGAUACGGCCCAGACUCCUACGGGAGGCAGCAGUGGGGAAUAUUGCACAAUGGGCGGAAGCCUGAUGCAGCAACGCCGCGUGCGGGAUGACGGCCUUCGGGUUGUAAACCGCUUUCGCCUGUGACGAAGCGUGAGUGACGGUAAUGGGUAAAGAAGCACCGGCUAACUACGUGCCAGCAGCCGCGGUGAUACGUAGGGUGCGAGCGUUGUCCGGAUUUAUUGGGCGUAAAGGGCUCGUAGGUGGUUGAUCGCGUCGGAAGUGUAAUCUUGGGGCUUAACCCUGAGCGUGCUUUCGAUACGGGUUGACUUGAGGAAGGUAGGGGAGAAUGGAAUUCCUGGUGGAGCGGUGGAAYGCGCAGAUAUCAGGAGGAACACCAGUGGCGAAGGCGGUUCUCUGGGCCUUUCCUGACGCYGAGGAGCGAAAGCGUGGGGAGCGAACAGGCUUAGAUACCCUGGUAGUCCACGCUGUAAACGGUGGGUACUAGGUGUGGGGUCCAUUCCACGGGUUCCGUGCCGUA